Molecule: RNA transcript, 5248 nt
Organism: Carassius carassius (crucian carp)
Lineage: Eukaryota; Metazoa; Chordata; Actinopteri; Cypriniformes; Cyprinidae
Gene name: protein turtle homolog B-like
Exons: 22
Source: RefSeq, a predicted model, not a curated record
UUUGCACUUCGGAACAUCUCCGUCUUCCAUAAAGGCGCUGGUGCAGGUGCUCUGUCUCAUCGGGGGAGGAUGCCACAGGAAGGACGGGCAGGGGGAAAGAAAUGAAGGAAAGCGCUGAGAGAGGAAAACACAGGAUAUGAUAAGCAGGGUAUCAGACUGGAAACGGAGGAAACUGAAUAUGAAAGAUUUAUUGCAAGGGGCACUUUGAGCUAUUAUUCCUGGUUGGCAAUAGUACUAUGAUUUGGUAUGUGGCCACUUUGAUAGCAAGUGUUUUCAGCACCCGAGGAACGGCAGCUCAAGGUGCCCACGGAGUGAGAGAGGAGCCCCAGUUUGUGACGGCCCGUGCAGGAGAGAGUGUUGUUUUGGGAUGUGACGUGAGCCACCCCCUAAACGGCCAGCAGACUCCCUAUGUGGUGGAGUGGUUUAAAUUCGGUGUGCCUAUUCCCUUCUUCAUCAACUUCCGUUUCUAUCCUCCUCAUGUGGACCCUGAGUACGCCGGUAGAGCCAGUCUGCAUGGCAAAGCGUCUCUGCAGAUCGACCAUGUGCGCUCGGAAGACCAGGGCUGGUACGAGUGCAGGGUCCUCAUGCUGGAACAACAAUACGACACCUUUCACAACGGCAGCUGGGUUCACCUCACAGUCAAUGCGCCCCCUACGUUCACGGAUACGCCACCGCAGUACGUGGAGGCGAGGGAGGGGGGCAGCAUUACUCUGACCUGCACUGCCUUCGGAAACCCCAAGCCAGUGGUCACCUGGCUGAGAGACGGGGAUCAGCUGACCAACAGCAAGAAAUACACGGUGAGUGACGGCAGUCUGACGGUGCAGGCCAUCACGCGGGAGGACCGGGGGGCCUACAGCUGUCGUGCCCACAGUGACCAGGGGGAGGCACUACACACCACCCGCCUUCUGGUGCAAGGUCCUCCAUAUAUUGUGUCACCACCUGAGAACAUCACUGUUAACAUAUCCCAGAAUGCCCAAUUUACAUGCCAAGCAGAGGCGUAUCCUGGUAACCUGACCUACACCUGGUACUGGGAAGAGGACAACGUCUACUUCAAGAAUGAUCUGAAGCUCCGAGUUCGCAUCUUUAUUGACGGAACCCUCAUUAUCUACAGAGUGAAGCCAGAGGAUGCUGGGAAAUACACCUGCAGCCCUAGUAACAGCCUGGGCAUCUCCCCUUCAGCUUCAGCUUACCUGACCGUGCAAUACCCUGCCCGUGUUGUGAACAUGCCACCUGUCAUCUACGCCCCAAGAAAGUUGCCGGGAAUCAUUCGCUGCCCAGUGGAUGCCAACCCCCCAGUUACGUCAGUCCGAUGGGAAAAAGAUGGCUACCCCCUUAGAAUCGAGAAGUAUCCUGGAUGGAGCCAGAUGGCGGACGGAAGUAUUCGGGUGGCAGAGGUCACUGAAGACUCCCUUGGCACCUACACCUGUGUGCCUUACAAUGUCCUAGGUACCAUGGGACAGUCCCCUCCGGCCACUCUGGUGCUAAAGGACCCCCCUUACUUCAACGUGAGCCCCGGGGGGGAGUACCGCCAGGAGGCGGGAAGAGAGCUGGUCAUCCCCUGCGCUGCUUCUGGAGACCCUGAGAUUCCAACCAUCGUAUGGAGAAAGGUUGGGAAGCCCAGCAGAAGCAAACAUAACAUCUUACCAAGUGGUAGCUUGCAAUUUGUCUCUCUGAGCAAAGAGGAUCAUGGGGAGUGGGAAUGUGUUGCCACCAACGUAGUAACAAGCAUCACUGCCAGCACACGCCUUUUUGUAAUAGGCACUAGUCCACAUGCGCCAACUAAUGUCCACGUGUCAGCAUCCACAAGCUCCGCUAACGUUUCCUGGGAACCUGGAUAUGACGGAGGCUUUGAACAGACGUUCUCGGUCUGGUAUGGCCCGGUAAAGUUGAAGAAUGAUUUAGGGCCACAUGACUGGCUGUCCGUACCUGUGCACGGUUCUCAGACGUGGUUGGUGGUCCAGGGGUUGGAGCCAAAGACUGCCUACGAAUUUAGUGUGUUGGCCCAGAACAAACUGGGCACCGGCCCCUUCAGUGAGGUAGUCACUGUGACUACAGGAGGGUAUCCCAUAAGUACCCCUGAACCACUGGUGCUUCUAACUCCACCACGGUGCCUCACAGCCAACCGGACACAGCAGGGUGUAUUGUUGACAUGGCUUCCUCCGGCCAAUCACUCUUCACCAAUCGACCGUUACAUCAUCGAGUUUCGUCUGGGGGAAAGGUGGGAGGUUCUGGAUGACUUAAUUCCUGCAACUGAGACUGAGAUCAUAGCAAGAGAUCUUAUUCAGGAUUCUUGGUAUGAAUUCAGAGCGCUGGCUGUAAUGGAUGAUCUUGUCAGUGAGAGCAGUAAUGUGGUGGGAGUGUCAAGUACAGACCCCUUCCCUCCCACAGAGAUCUCAGAUGAGGGGCUGGCCAAGCCAUUGGUGGCUGGCAUCGUGGCCACCAUCUGUUUCUUGGCGGCUGCCAUCCUCUUCAGCACACUUGCUGCAUGUUUUGUCAACAAGCAGCAUCGUCGCAAGCUCAAACGCAAACGAGACCCUCCACUAUCGAUUACACACACAAGGAAAAGCAUUGAAUCUCCGCCUCCUCUUACCCCCUUGCCUGGCAUUGAGCCCUACUGGGAAGAGCCAGACAGGAGCAGCUACAGGCCCCCAUCCACCAGCCCUCAGCUGUCCUCUGGAAAGAUCAGUCCUGAGAGCAUCACUUCCUCCCGGCCCCCAUCUCUGGCCAGCCUGGGUGGCCAUGGUCUUUACGUUAAGAAGUUGCCAAGCCCCAGGAAAGAGAAAGAGCUUUCCCUCUAUAAGAAAACCAAGAGAGCAAUAACCAGUAAGAAGUACAGCGUGUCCAAGCACGAGGCUGAGGUCACCACGCCCAUCGAGCUGAUCAGCCGUGGACCUGAUGGCCGAUUCGUUAUGGAUCCCAGUGACAUCGACACAUCCCUCAAGCCACGACGUAUUGAGGGUUUUCCUUUUGUGGAGGAAUCAGACUUGUAUCCUGAGUUCCGCCAAUCAGAUGAGGAGAACGAUGACCCAGGGCCCCUACCCCCAGUCAUGGCCACCCUCAGGCCCCAGAUAUCCCCUGUGUCCUCCAGCCAGGAGUCCUACAUGCAGCCCCCAGCCUACAGCCCCCGGUUCCAGAGGCCUAUGGAAGGUAUGAGCAUCUCGGAGGGUAGUCGGCUUGAGGCCACAGGGCAGAGCCGGGUCUCCCAUUUUCACAGGGUCUUCCCUCCAGGCCCCUUCUAUGGCUAUCUAGGUAGUGGUGCUGAGGUGGAGCUUCACCCUCCUUUUUACAUGCCUGAUGUUAGUCCACGUAGCUCUGCCAUGUCCUCCUCACCUUCAUACCCCCCUGAGGGGCCGUUCCGCCAUCCCACCAUCCCAGAGGAGAGGGAGGAGCUGAUGAUCCAUCAGUAUGGAGCCUCCGGCCAUGCCCUCCCACUGGUGCAUAGCCCUCCCUCCUCUCGCUCGACCGAGAUCUGGCAGCCUCCUGACUUCCCCUUUCUAGGUCAGGAGGGUCCCCGUCUCACUCUUCCACCACAUCAUUCCUCAUAUCUCCACCGGGACCUCCCAGAGCCCCCGCCAUACCCCUCCCAUAGUCGUACUCUUAGCACCACCUCUCAGCUCCCUUCAAGCUCUGCUUUUCUCCAACUGGAGGCCCCUAGAGCCCACCUGAGCAGAUCUCCCGGCAGGUUUCCGCCUCAGGGCCCUUCAGCAAAGCAUAUAACUAUGCAACAGUCCCAGACUCUGGGGCAGUUGAGACACACUGCCCACGGUAUGGGCGUACCAGUGUUGCCUUACUUAGGCGCCACAGCACGCAUGGGGAGCCCAAGCACACUGCACAGUGAGAGCUCGGACGGCUGGAGGUCUGAGGCCCAGCCUUGGCUGAGCCCAAGGGCGGCACGAAGGAUGGAUCUGGGCCUGCAGCAGGUGGUCCUGCAGCCGUCACGACUCUCCCCUCUCACCCAAACCCCUCCCAGCUCACACGCCGGCUCUCCAGACAUUCUUGUCCGCCCUCCUCCCCGCCCCAGCAUCCUGCGGUCUUCCCGUUCUCAAGAGAUGCCCGAGAGUGCCCGUCACCCCGCCAGUGUCUCUUUCUCCCGAAGGUCUCUCUCCUCUUCCCCUGCCACUUCACCUACUCAAGGCCAGAGUGGCCAGCGACCCAGCCUCAGCUACCAUGCACACAUGGCCUUUGCCACAGCCGCGGCCAGCUACCCCUCCCAGUCCCCUUCACCCCCUGCGGAGAGCAGUGAUGCUUUCGGCCAGAUGCCAUCUCAGAGAAGAACAGAUGAGGAGAUGCUUCCCUCAGAACCCUCUCCAGGCUAUCUGGGCAGCAUUGUUGUGACCAGGUCCUCUACACCACAAUAGCCUCAGCAGCAGGGGAGUCUGUCUGUAAUCGCUUUAUGUUUCUGUGCCUUUUGACCCAGUUGACUCUUCAGUAUGAAGACAUUUGAGUGUCAUGAUCUCUGCCAUUAUAGAGGAAUGGCAUGUGCGAUAAAAGACUACACUUUACUAGAAACAUGACCUCUGUGGUCAGUUUAAUAGGAAAACCAGUGAGCUUACUGGGAAACAGGAGAUUUUGGCUAGUUGUUAUUUGAUUGGACAGUGCUGGCAGCAUGGCAGCAGUGUACAACAUGAGGUAAAAGGUUUAUUCCUGGUAAGUUAGAUGUAUUCUGAAGUAAAUUAAUGGGGAAAAUGCUCAAUUCAACUCACCAGACUAACUGAAUUAACUCAACGUGCUUUUAAUUUGCAGAAUACCCAUUUAACGAGGAAGAGUCUUUGUUUUUGUUUUUUUAAAUAAAUGAUUUGGUAUUUAAUUUUGAUUCUGAUGAACAAAGAAAAGUUUUCAUUAUCAAGAUUUCAUUUUGAUAGACAGUAUUUUCUACAUAAUAUCUAACAACACUUGCAAAUUGCCAAAAGUUGAUUAAUUGCUACAUUGAACAGAACAUGAUGAUGAAUGGUACAUUUGUCAUGAAGGUUUUGCACUUGGCAUUGGGGCAGCCAAAGUGUUCCCUGUUGGGGGCUAAAACUCAGUUUGAUCUGGCCGGUGGAGGGCAGCGCACGCUGGUGGCGGUGUGAAGUAAUGCAUCAUUGUGUUUGUCUCUCACAGGGAGCAUCUAGGUGCAGUGAGAGUCCCUGCAGGGUCUGAGAGCUUUGAAGCAUUGAUUUAUUAUUGUAUUAAUAAAGCCAAGAAAUCAACAGCCAACAAGAACAACAACUCCAGAUUCAAGAAAAGGACAGAUGUGUCCACCUCUCAG